RNAcentral lists this long non-coding RNA (502 nucleotides) under Panicum hallii. RNAcentral's name for it is "long non-coding RNA (PHAL_LNC000347)". The record is from RNAcentral. Lineage: Eukaryota; Viridiplantae; Streptophyta; Magnoliopsida; Poales; Poaceae.
CUGCUGCGCGCUGCAUCCUCACCAGUACUAGAAGCUAGUAAAGCCAUGGCUCCCACUGUUAUGGCCUCCUCGGCCACCUCCGUGGCUCCUUUCCAGGGCCUCAAGUCCACCGCUGGAGUACUCCCCGUGAGCCGCCGCUCCAGCAGGUCCGGAUUCGGCAAGUACGUCAGCAACGGCGGAAGGAUCAGGUGCAUGCAGGUAACAAUCUACUAGCUGGAAUUGGAUUCUUGGUGGUGUUCAAAACUGAGCUGAACGCAACUCAAUAAGAGGUCUAGCUAGGAAACUGAUGGUAUUGGUGCGUCGUUGUUCAGGUGUGGCCGACUGAGAACAACAAGAAGUUCGAGACCCUGUCGUACCUGCCGCCUCUCUCCACGGAGGACCUCUUGAAGCAGAUCGACUACCUGAUCCGGAACAACUGGGUCCCCUGCCUCGAGUUCAGCAAGGUCGGCUUCGUCUUCCGUGAGAACGCCACUUCUCCCGGGUACUACGAUGGCCGCUACUG